Molecule: ribosomal RNA, 466 nt
Filed under: uncultured bacterium
Lineage: Bacteria
Description: partial 16S ribosomal RNA
Rfam family: Bacterial small subunit ribosomal RNA
Source: RNAcentral
GAUGAACGCUGGCGGCGUGCUUAACACAUGCCAGUCGAACGGAAAGGCUCCUGCUUGCAGGGGUACUCGAGUGGCGAACGGGUGAGUAACACGUGGGUGAUCUGCCCUGCACUUCGGGAUAAGCCUGGGAAACUGGGUCUAAUACCGGAUAGGACGAUGGUUUGGAUGCCAUUGUGGAAAGUUUUUCGGUGUGGGAUGAGCUCGCGGCCUAUCAGCUUGUUGGUGGGGUAAUGGCCUACCAAGGCGUCGACGGGUAGCCGGCCUGAGAGGGUGUACGGCCACAUUGGGACUGAGAUACGGCCCAGACUCCUACGGGAGGCAGCAGUGGGGAAUAUUGCACAAUGGGCGCAAGCCUGAUGCAGCGACGCCGCGUGGGGGAUGACGGCCUUCGGGUUGUAAACUCCUUUCGCUAGGGACGAAGCGUUUUGUGACGGUACCUGGAGAAGAAGCACCGGCUAACUACGUG